This 789-nucleotide ribosomal RNA is filed under the name Salmonella enterica. RNAcentral describes it as "partial 23S ribosomal RNA". The stretch from base 89 to 789 matches the Rfam family "Bacterial large subunit ribosomal RNA", at positions 568 to 1269 of the family's 2925-position model. Lineage: Bacteria; Pseudomonadati; Pseudomonadota; Gammaproteobacteria; Enterobacterales; Enterobacteriaceae. The record is from RNAcentral.
CCACCACUAAGCCAGUGGUGAACUCCACAUACGCAUCCUUUGCUGAGGAUACGGUUAACGGAGCGCAAGCGACGUUCAACCUCAAAAGAAGCAGAGGGGGCUUAGUGGUGGGGUGACUGCGUACCUUUUGUAUAAUGGGUCAGCGACUUAUAUUCUGUAGCAAGGUUAACCGAAUAGGGGAGCCGGAGGGAAACCGAGUCUUAAUUGGGCGUUAAGUUGCAGGGUAUAGACCCGAAACCCGGUGAUCUAGCCAUGGGCAGGUUGAAGGUUGGGUAACACUAACUGGAGGACCGAACCGGCUAAUGUUGAAAAAUUAGCGGAUGACCUGUGGCUGGGGGUGAAAGGCCAAUCAAACCGGGAGAUAGCUGGUUCUCCCCGAAAGCUAUUUAGGUAGCGCCUCGUGAAUUCAUCUCCGGGGGUAGAGCACUGUUUCGGCUAGGGGGCCAUCCCGGCUUACCAACCCGAUGCAAACUGCGAAUACCGGAGAAUGCUAUCACGGGAGACACACGGCGGGUGCUAACGUCCGUCGUGAAGAGGGAAACAACCCAGACCGCCAGCUAAGGUCCCAAAGUCAUGGUUAAGUGGGAAACGAUGUGGGAAGGCCCAGACAGCCAGGAUGUUGGCUUAGAAGCAGCCAUCAUUUAAAGAAAGCGUAAUAGCUCACUGGUCGAGUCGGCCUGCGCGGAAGAUGUAACGGGGCUAAACCAUGCACCGAAGCUGCGGCAGCGACGCUGAUGCGUUGUUGGGUAGGGGAGCGUUCUGUAAGCCUGUGAAGGUGGCCUGUGAGGG